GCAUAGUCCAUCUUUCGGUAUUUGCUUGCAAAUCAUAUUUGAAAUAUCAAUUUAAAAAACUUCUAUUUUGUGGAGGAAAAAAGUUGGGUGCAAUGCAAAUAAAUGAAAUGUCAAUGUAGAAAAUAUUAUGACAAAAAAUUGUCCUCUGCUUAAUACCAUGUUUUCAACUGCACAAUAGAUUUUUAUAUAACUUGGAGCUUAAAAGAGGUGUCGAAAUAUUCACAUCUUUGCGAUCCCCUACAAAUGCACAUAUACACACCAGAAAGAAAGGAAAAAGAAAAAAGAG
Molecule: unclassified non-coding RNA, 286 nt
Filed under: Hevea brasiliensis (rubber tree)
Lineage: Eukaryota; Viridiplantae; Streptophyta; Magnoliopsida; Malpighiales; Euphorbiaceae
Source: RNAcentral